CCGUUCAAUACUGCGGAGCUCGAGGGCAGAAGAGGGGGGUGGAAUUGCUGGUGUAGCGGUGAAAUGCGUAGAUAUCAGCAGGAACACCUGUGGCGAAAGCGGCCCCCUGGUCUGCUCCUGACACUCAGACGCGAAAGCUAGGGGAGUGAACGGGAUUAGAAACCCCGGUAAUCCUAGCCGUAAACGAUGGAUGCUAGGUGUGGGUGGUAUUGACCCCAUCCGUGCCGAAGCCAACGCGUUAAGCAUCCCGCCUGGGGACUACGGCCGCAAGGUUAAAACUCAAAGGAAUUGACGGGGACCCGCACAAGCAGCGGAGCGUGUGGUUUAAUUCGAUGCUACACGAAGAACCUUACCCAGGUUUGACAUGCAGGUAGUAGUGAAGCGAAAGCGGAACGAUCCUUCGGGAAGCCUGCACAGGUGCUGCAUGGCUGUCGUCAGCUCGUGCCGUGAGGUGUUUGGUUAAGUCCACUAACGAGCGCAACCCCUGUCGUCAGUUACAUGUGUCUGGCGAGACUGCCGGUCUUAAACCGGAGGAAGGUGGGGAUGACGUCAAGUCAGCAUGGCCUUUAUAUCUGGG
This 577-nucleotide ribosomal RNA is filed under the name uncultured bacterium. RNAcentral describes it as "bacterial SSU rRNA". It matches the Rfam family "Bacterial small subunit ribosomal RNA", at positions 623 to 1212 of the family's 1533-position model. The record is from RNAcentral.